AGUUGCUACGGGAAUGUGGGGAUUGAAUGGGAAUGCGUAUGAGCAAACUUUCUGAGGUGAUAGGGCAGGUUACACUCAUAUGUGCAUUUCUCAAAACUCAUCGAGCUCUAUACUCAAGAUGUGGACAUUUCAGUCUACCUCAGUAAAAUAAAUAAAAAGAAACAAUAUGACAGGUGGAAUGAAGUAACGCGAAGAAUAGAAAUGUGGAUCUCCAUAUUAGAAUUGAAUGAGUUAGGGGAGUAUGCUGCAGUGGAACUUCAUCAGGCAAAAGAUGUCAACACAGGAGGCAUCUUUCAACUUAGACAGGGUCAUUCCCGUAGAGUACAAGUCACGGUGAAACCUGUGCAGCAUUCAGGGACACUGCCACUUAUGGUUGAAGCCAUCCUGUCAGUAUCCAUCGGCUGUGUAACUGCCAGGUCCACCAAACUCCAGAGAGGGCUGGACAGUUACCAGGAAGAAGACUUAAACUGCGUAAGGGAGAGGUGGUCAGAUGCACUCAUUAAACGACGAGAAUACUUGGAUGAACAGAUAAAAAAAGUCAGCAAUAAAACAGAGAAAACAGAGGACGAUGUGGAGCGGGAAGCCCAGCUUGUGGAGCAGUG
RNAcentral lists this small RNA (602 nucleotides) under Pan troglodytes (chimpanzee). RNAcentral describes it as "processed transcript". The record is from RNAcentral. Lineage: Eukaryota; Metazoa; Chordata; Mammalia; Primates; Hominidae.